This 371-nucleotide long non-coding RNA is filed under the name Homo sapiens (human). Its description in RNAcentral is "non-protein coding lnc-ATRIP-24:1". The record is from RNAcentral. Lineage: Eukaryota; Metazoa; Chordata; Mammalia; Primates; Hominidae.
AUCUUUAUUGAGGACGUGAGCGUUGCUCCUGGUGCUGAACAGAGCGCGAAGCUCUCCCUGCGUAACUCCUGGCACGCGCCGGUCUCGCCAGGCCAAUGGGUGGACCUGGCGCAACAGACGUCACGAGAGGAGCGGAGGCGAGGGGUGAACGCGGAGCACUCCAAUCGCUCCCAACUAGAGGUCCACCCAGGACCCAGAGACCUGGAUUUGAGGCUGCUGGGCGGCAGAUGGAGCGAUCAGAAGACCAGGAGACGGGAGCUGGAGUGCAGUGGCUGUUCACAAGCGUGAAAGCAAAGAUUAAAAAAUUUGUUUUUAUAUUAAAAAAGUUUUUAGAGAUGGGGGUCUCACUUUGUGGCCCAGCCUGCAGUGCA